Molecule: long non-coding RNA, 1785 nt
Filed under: Vulpes vulpes (red fox)
Lineage: Eukaryota; Metazoa; Chordata; Mammalia; Carnivora; Canidae
Description: lncRNA (ENSVVUG00000006677.1)
Source: RNAcentral
GUCGCCUUGUCCGCAGGCAGAGUUGGGAUCACACCAGCUCUUUGCUCUCCCAUCUCUCGGGUCGCCCCCUCCUGGGCCUGAAGCCCCAGGGAGAGACACCCUGCUUUGCAACCUGCGCCCCCCGGUGUACGGGGCUGUGUUUUGCUGUUGCUAUAGGGCACUUAGAGACCCCAGCCGUGGCCAAGUACGUGUCUCCAUGGUUCUCACGCCGUUCGCGGUUCCCACAACCUCCCUCACACCUGGCUGAGCUCCGGAACAACAGAAAAACAGUGCUGGGGCUGAAAACAGCCUCCUCACACCUCUGUGGUGUGUAGCUUUAGAGACGCACCUCUAAAGCCUGCAUCUUAGAGACGCUGAGACUCACAGAGGUCACGGCAUUUUCUCAGGUGUCCCCAGCUGGUGAGUAGAAAGGUAAGGGCCAGAACCCGGGUCCGCAGGCUCUCCCCCUGGUGUGUUUUUCUACGAUAGCAUUGCAUGUGCACCCGUGUACCUGGGGUUCACCUUGGAAAUGCGUCGGGCCCAGGGGGUAAAUGCACCCGGGAUUCGUGCCCACACUGGGCCUCUGAAGACUGGGUCGGAGAUUAGGAGGGUCUGUAAGAGCUCUCUUUACAGGCCAAAGCACGUGGGCUCAAUUUUCAGGGCGAGGAUGGUUAGGGGGAAUGCAGGACUUAAGUGUCACAAGGGACCCCGCUGCACCUCCUUGCAGGGCUCCGGGCACGUGGAGUCCAAGCCAGAGAGACCAGAGCAGCGUGCUGACUCCCCGCCCAAGCCUCCAUCCCAGGCCUGCCCUUCGGCUCACUGCCGUGUUUCCAAGACGUGGAAUGGGCUUACAAGGAAUGAGUCGUGGGACAUGCUACUCCUGCCUUGUCUCCCAGACCAUGGAAGUCCAGGGAUCCACAGACUCCUCCUCUAAGUCCUACAUCUCAAAAACCAUCAGCCAGACUGUGAAUUGAAGGCUUGUUUCUUAUUUGCUGAUUGGACCCAACUACUUGAAAUAGUAACUUUUCAGAAGCUCCUUCCAGAAGCCUUUGCUAACUUGCAAGCUAACUUAGACACAGCUUCUCUGGAUCUGGGACAUAUAUGUCUCCUUGUACAUAUUGCAUGGAGCAGCAUGGUUGACUUAUCUAUUGGUUUCAUCCACUCAUUGGUUCUCAACUGGACAAAAUUUUGCCUCCCAAGAUACAUCUGGCGAUGUCUGGGGCCAUUUUUGAUUCUCAGGACCAGCUGGAGAUGUGGGUUGAGGCCUGAGAUAUUGCCAAACAUUCUACAAGUCACAGAGCAGCCCCACCACAAAGAAUUAUCGGCCCAAAAUGCCACUGGCACCGUCAUCAAGAAACUCUGGGUUUCCAUUGGAUGGGGAGCUUCUUAAGGGUGGAGAACAUAUCUUACUCAUUCCUGCAUCCUUCAUACAGAAGCAACACUUUCUGAAUGGCUGAAGAAAUGAGAGAGGAAGCUAGGACCCUUCGGUCUGGCAGCUAUAAAGAACAGGUUUCCAAUAUCUCGAAAUAUUCACUAGCAAAAUUUAGCACUGAAAAAAUUCACAACCUAGAACAUUUUCAUGAAGUGGGCUAGGUUUAGUGCCUCACAGUACCCAUCCAGGGUCCCAGAGAUGGGCACAGUGGAGGGUCUGGAGUGGUGCUGAGUCCGGGAGGGUAGAGCUUCGGUGAGAAACUGGGCUUUGACACCAAAUGUGGACUAAUUUAAUUUCUGGCAUUUACAAUAUAAUCUUGAGUAAGCGGUUCUUUUCUCCUGAGUCUCUAUUUUGUCUUCUAAAAAUGGGAAUAU